Macaca mulatta (Rhesus monkey) is the source of this 9270-nucleotide non-coding RNA. The record is from RefSeq and is a predicted model, not a curated record. NCBI's taxonomy places the organism in Eukaryota, Metazoa, Chordata, Mammalia, Primates, Cercopithecidae.
CGGCCGAGCGGGACUGGCUGGGUCGGCUCCGCUGCCGCUGCGAGGAGGAGCCGCGGGGCUGUGCUCGGCGGCCAAGGGGACAGCGCGCGGGCGGCUGAGGAUGCUACGGGGCGGCGGCGCCCCUCGCUCGUGACUGCUGCGCCGCGCCUCACACAGCCGAGGCGGGCUCGGCGCGCGGUCGCUGCUCCGCGCGCGCGCCCGGCGGCGCUCCUGGUGCUGACAGCGCGAGACAGCGCGGCCCUCAGGAGCUGGACGAAUGUAUGACAACAUGUCCACAAUGGUGUACAUAAAGGAAGACAAGUUGGAGAAGCUUACACAGGAUGAAAUUAUUUCUAAAACAAAGCAAGUAAUUCAGGGGCUGGAAGCUUUGAAGAAUGAGCACAAUUCCAUUUUACAAAGUUUGCUGGAGACACUGAAGUGUUUGAAGAAAGAUGAUGAAAGUAACCUGGUGGAGGAGAAAUCAAACAUGAUCCGGAAGUCACUGGAGAUGUUGGAGCUUGGCCUGAGUGAGGCACAGGUUAUGAUGGCUUUGUCAAAUCACCUGAAUGCUGUGGAGUCCGAGAAGCAGAAACUGCGUGCGCAGGUUCGUCGUCUGUGCCAGGAGAAUCAGUGGCUACGGGAUGAAUUGGCCAACACGCAGCAGAAACUGCAGAAGAGCGAGCAGUCUGUGGCUCAACUGGAGGAGGAGAAGAAGCAUCUGGAGUUUAUGAAUCAGCUAAAAAAAUAUGACGACGACAUUUCCCCAUCCGAGGACAAAGACACUGAUUCUACCAAAGAGCCUCUGGAUGACCUUUUCCCCAAUGAUGAAGACGACCCAGGGCAAGGAAUCCAGCAGCAGCAUAGCAGCGCCGCCGCGGCUGCCCAGCAGGGCGGCUACGAGAUCCCCGCGCGGCUGCGGACACUCCACAACCUGGUGAUCCAGUACGCCUCGCAGGGACGCUACGAGGUAGCCGUGCCCCUCUGCAAGCAGGCCCUGGAGGACCUGGAGAAGACUUCAGGACAUGACCACCCGGACGUGGCCACCAUGCUCAACAUCCUGGCCUUGGUGUACAGGGAUCAGAAUAAAUACAAAGAUGCAGCUAACCUACUGAAUGAUGCCUUGGCUAUUCGUGAGAAAACUUUGGGCAAAGAUCAUCCUGCGGUGGCAGCGACUUUGAAUAACCUUGCAGUCCUUUAUGGUAAGAGAGGGAAGUACAAAGAAGCAGAGCCGUUGUGCAAAAGAGCUCUGGAAAUCCGAGAAAAGGUUUUGGGGAAGGAUCACCCCGAUGUUGCCAAGCAGUUAAAUAACUUGGCCUUACUGUGCCAGAACCAGGGCAAGUAUGAAGAAGUAGAAUAUUAUUAUCAAAGAGCCCUCGAGAUCUACCAGACAAAACUGGGACCUGAUGACCCCAACGUGGCUAAGACAAAAAAUAACCUGGCAUCCUGCUAUCUGAAACAAGGAAAGUUCAAGCAAGCAGAAACACUGUACAAAGAGAUUCUCACUCGUGCACAUGAAAGGGAGUUUGGUUCUGUAGAUGAUGAAAAUAAACCCAUCUGGAUGCAUGCUGAAGAAAGAGAAGAAUGCAAAGGAAAGCAAAAGGAUGGGACGUCUUUUGGAGAGUAUGGCGGCUGGUACAAAGCCUGCAAAGUUGAUAGUCCAACUGUUACAACCACUCUAAAAAACCUUGGGGCACUUUACAGACGUCAAGGCAAAUUUGAAGCUGCAGAAACAUUAGAAGAAGCUGCCAUGAGGUCUCGUAAACAGGGUCUUGACAAUGUUCACAAACAGAGGGUGGCGGAAGUGCUCAAUGACCCUGAGAACAUGGAGAAGCGCAGGAGCCGUGAGAGCCUCAACGUGGACGUGGUCAAGUACGAGAGUGGCCCUGACGGAGGGGAGGAAGUGAGUAUGAGCGUAGAGUGGAACGGGGAUGGCACUGGAUCUUUAAAACGCAGUGGUUCCUUUAGCAAACUCCGGGCUUCCAUUAGACGCAGCAGUGAGAAGCUGGUUAGGAAGCUGAAGGGAGGAAGUUCACGAGAGAGUGAGCCAAAGAACCCCGGCAUGAAGCGUGCCAGCUCUCUGAAUGUCCUUAACGUGGGUGGCAAGGCUGCUGAAGAUCGCUUUCAAGAACGAAAUAAUUGUCUGGCCGACUCGCGAGCUCUGAGUGCCAGCCACACUGACCUGGCCCACUGAGGGCCGGCAGGGCUAGGUAACCUGCCUUGGGAGUGUGAGACUGCCCUGCCCUGCCACGCCCCUCACCGCCCUGCCCGGAGGCGCCAGCCGCACUCCUUGGCUUCCUUUCUAGAUAGUGACGUCCACCAACCUUGGAGGUGCCUUUUCAAAACACCCGGGCGACCCUGCCCCAGCAUUCUGUCACCCGGCCUGCAGUCUCAGUGCCAGGAGCUGCCUCGACCGCGACCCGGCCAGGCUGGCGCACGGAGGCCGAGGCGAGGCCGAGGUGGCUUCAGCACACGGGGGGGCGGCUCCUGCUCACGGAUGCUGUUGCACUUCCUGCCUGCCAGCUUUUUGCCAUGACACCAAACUCUCUUCUAAAUUAUAAUGUUGUAAUAAGGCUGUAAACUAAGAACCUGGAAACAUGAAGUACCCUUUCAGAACGGUAGGCAUUUAGUGAUCUGCGGCAGUAAAGCCUGAAGCGUGGCGGACCUCCUGGUCAGUGGGAGUGAAUCCCCUCCCGGCAGGAGCGUCUUCUGGGUCUCUGUUUCCGAGGUCCCCGGGCGUGGUCCUGGGCGCCUGUGGGGCCUGGGCCCCAUGCCCACCCCUUUUGAGCAGUGUUCUCUCCUGGAGGCCCCGCACACGAAGCCCAUAGAGAUGUGCGUUUCACUUUUUAAAAGCUUAAGCUUUAUAGAAUGAGGGAGCACAGUGGACUCUGACAGGAACCUUUUCAAAUCAGUGCUGAGGCUGUAUUUCUUAGCUGUCCACAGACUAGCCCAUAGGUAAAGAGCCUACAAAACAGAUGCCGAGGUAAGCAGUGAUUCCAAAGACUGGCGCUCAGAAGCGCCACCUCCAUGCCAGCCAGCCAGGCUACGGAACAGAGGGGCGGUCUGAAACGCUGGCCAUCCCGUGAAAGGUCAGCUUGCCGCUGUCAUGUAACAGGGCAGGUGAUGGCACAGCAGAGGCUCACACUUGUCGCCUUCAGUCCCUGGAAGCUCCCCGUGGGGCACGGGGCCGAAGGCUGGGGACAGAGCAUCCUGGGGUUUUGAUAUAAGGCUAGGCUUUAAAAUACCUUUAAAAGUUUCAUUUCAUUUCAUCCCGUCUCAUGUCGCAGGACUGCUGUGUUUGUGAAAACGUAUUUGUUUCCGUAAGACAAGCUCCAUGUAGUCGUCAGCGAGCGCCUGGCACAGGCGCUGCCCUAUGGAGCCAGUGUUGUCCCCAGCGGCUCACCUGUGGCCGUGGCUCCUUUUCUGAGGCUCCUGACUCCAUUUUUGCAGAUUCUGAUGGGUCAGCAGCUUACUUUCUAAAUGCUACAUAGAGGUGUUAAAGGAAAUUUGAUAGGUUCUGUAAUAGUGGAUAGGAUUAAAAGAAAAAAUGGUACAUAUAUAUGGCUGGGUGCGGUGGUUCAUGCCUGUAAUCCUAUAAUCUUAGCACUUGGGGAGGUUGAGGCGGGAGGAUCACUUGAGCCCAGGAGGUCAAGAACAGCUUGGGCAACACAGCGAGUCCCUGUGUCUACCAAAAAAAACCCCCAUAAAUAUAUAAAAUUUGAUGGGUUGUGAGAAGCCACCCCCUCAAAAAAGGGGGGUGUAGAGCAGCUUCCUUUGACAGGUGCCGUGGCUGCCCCCGUAGUGGGCUAUGUCUGUGCACAGGCGACGGGCAGGAGGGCUCUGGAGCUUCCCUUGUGGUGGGGGGUGCCUUCUCCCUGUGAGGAUGCUGAGCAGAGUUUGGAACCCAGACAGUUUCCCUUAGUGACAGUUCUCUGGAAAGGAGAAAGGGCAUUUAGAAGAAAUAAACACAAGGCUGAAUAUGGAGUUGAAUUUUAACCUCUUCAGACUGAUGGGUGCAGACGAGGUUGUGUGGGGCCUCUGUGGAGCCUGCUCUGGCGUCCAGCCAUGGGAUCUUAGGGCCGACGUGGCCUCUGCAGCACUGUGGCUGUGGGAGCACUGUGUGUUGGGAUAAGAGAAGCCAGAAGGCCUCCUUGAAGCCAGCUCGUAAAGGAAGGUUCAUGUUUCAGAGAGGGAAGUGGCAAGGGAAUCUGAGUCCUUGAUGUUUGAACCCCCCCCCCACCCAAUAGAAGUGCAGUGAUUUAAGCCAUUUCCCAUCUGGCGGUCUGAAUUUUUCCCUUCAGAGCAGAGAAAUGGUAGGCCCAGCCAUCCCUCCUUCUGUGUUCUCUUUCUGGUGAGGGGACCCCCAACGUGAGAGUCAGCACCUGUUUCUUCAGAGUUGCUGUCAAAAUACUCACUGCACCCCACCCCCCCCACGGCAGCCGUGUGUGCAGCGCCCAGUCCCAGCCACCAUGGCAUGGGAGCGUCUGGAUCUGCGGGCGGACAGCCUGUCUCUGGGUAGUUGGUGCAGCUGUGGCAGAAACCAGGCCCUGGGGAGGUCCUGUGACAUGACUGCUGCCCUGGAGCAGCAGCAGUGUGCGGCUCAGGGGUCCUCGGAGGCUGGUGGUGCCCGCGGGUGGCACAGGGGCCCUCUCAUGGGCAGCACUUGGUCUUGUGUUUACAGUACUGGAGGAAUUCACAUCGUUAUUUUCUAGAUUAAGCUGCUAGAAAUAUCACGUAAUUAGAAAUUCAGUGUUUAUAGUAAGAUGUAUUAAACAUUGCUAAAAAUGUACGGCUACAAUCUAUAACAGGUUUUCCAUUGUCAUAACUGUAUGGAAUUUUCUUGGAGGAUGUCAUUAGCUUCUGUUUGCACUGACUUGUGAGCUGUGUGUACACUUGUCAGAUUUCUGAAUACUGUAGAGCACUCACCAGCUCUGACCAUGUCUUGCUAGGGCCGGCCGGCUGCAUGUGCAGCGGGGCCAGCUGUCUUAGGGCUGAUACGUAGACGUGUAUUCUGUUUACAAUUAGUUCCCCAACGUUGUGGGGAAGAACUUAAGUGGUUUUAAAGUGUUUUAUGAUAUGGUGAGGCAGUGAGGGUCAAGGCACGUGGUCCCUGAGGAAGGGUCUUCGGGACAAGAGGGACUGUGCUCCCAGGGUGUGGUGCCUCCCUAAGGGGAUGGUCAGUGCUCCUGGGUCAGUGCUGGCCAAGCCAGCCCUUCUGCAGACUGCUGUGGUGGGAGUUCCCUGGGACAGGAAGCCCCUCGGCCCCUUCCCUCCAGGGCAGGAACUGAACCAGCAUGGGCGGGCCGGCCGAGCUUCCAGGUGUGUUUUCUGUUAAAUGUACCUCUGUCUUUAAGCUGUCUCAUUUUCUAAUCGCCGGCAUGUCUUGCCUAGAAAAGCAUUUGGAAUUGCUUAUGUUCAAUUACAGAAAUAAAAUGUUUUAUUUGCUGUUGUAGAAUCCCUGCACUUUUGCAGAAAGGCUGUUUUGUAAAAAUCCAACCCCAAAAUAAUUUUUUCCUAUGUUCAUGCCAGUGGUUCUUAACUUUAGGGUCAGAGAACCUUGAUAACGUGAAGGUUUUCAACGGAUUGUCCCACCCUAGAAAAUGGCAAACAGAAAAAUUCUGCACAGUAUGGGCCUACCCCUUACCUUUCCCCCAACCAGUGCCAGCCCCCCCCCCCACUGUAGGAGCACCCACAGGCUCACCCUGGGCACAUGGGGUGGGGGUGACAAUUUCUGCCUCUGGGUUGUGGGAGGAGUCAAUCCACUUAGCAGUUCUGGGCCUCAAUUCCCCUACCUGCAAGUGGAGAUGUAGUAACAGUACCUAUCCGCAGGAGUUGUGAGGAGAACGUACUUCAAUGUGCAUAAAUUACUUAGAGCAGUGCCUGGCAGACAGCAAGAAGCAGGUCCUGGAACUGCAUCCAUUUAACAUUUAUUUGUCAAAGGCAUGGUCGGUGCUAGGCAGCACGUGGAGGCACUGGGUGGGUGGGAAUCAAGGGGGUCACCACUCUGCCCAUGGGGAGGCCACGCCACUGACCGCUGGGUGGAUAUUUCAGCAUCUGCAGCCAGCUGUGUUCCCGAGAGGCUCUGCUUUCUGGCCAGAUGUAAGGCCUGGCCACAGUGUGGGACUGGGUCUGCAGGUGGCCCUGCCCGGAGUCCUGCCAUCUCCCCACCAGAGUGCCGCCCAGCCACGCCAGGGCUGAGCUGGACGCCCAGACCCCUGGGGCCAGGAUACACUGGGACCCUCCUUUCUCUCAACCUUGGAUCCUCUUUCACCAGAACUGUGUUCCCAGGUGACUGACGAGCCUGUCACGUGCCAGCCCCACGCUGCCCGCUCCCCUCUGUCUGGCUGUGGUACUGGCACAGGCCACACUACUAGAGUCAAGGCAGCCCCCCCCAACCCCAGGCUCUCCUGGACCCAGAAGCUGGAGGUCGGUGGGAUAUGCUUUCUCCACCUUGUACCACACUGAAGUUUUGUGGGGCACGGUGUGUGCCGGGGUGGGGCCCCCGGGAUCCAAGGACCCAGAGGUGGGUGAGGAGGAGCUGCCUGCCUGCAGCCCCGCUGUGGCCUGAGGGGUUGGGGGAGUCAAGACAGCCCUGCGUGUAGGAGGGGAGACCUUCGCGGGCAGGGCCCCAAGGCUGAGGGGGCCUGAGGCCUAAGACGCGACCCCGGGUGGGCUUCCAUGUGGACAGCAGAAGCAGGGGACUCCCAGGGAGUCACUGUAGGGACACCCCCAGGCCCCAGCCCUGAGAAUCACCUGUCCCCAAGGACCAGCUCAGCGGUGGGGACCAGGUGCCCAGCAAGCCGGGCCUGUCCCCAGACCCAGGGAGAGGUGGAACAGCUCCCCCAGCUCAGGUGGGGGACUGUGGCCACCACCUUUGGCUGAGAAAGUGGAACCGCUGCCCUGGAAGAUCUGUCUGAACCAGGCUCCCAGCUGUGCCACGGCCGAGGCAGACAGCGUUUUAAAGGCGCAAGCCCCAUGUGUCAGGGCUUCUCAGGCAAGGCUGUUCUGCAGCUGCCACCGUGUCAAUGGGACUGCGUCCCAGGUGUCCCUCGCACCCCUUCUGCACUGAUCGUGUAAGAACAGGAGGAGGGGGGCAGGUGGGGGGCAAAGAGCACCCGCAGGGUCCGGGCUGGGCAGCCGAGGGCAGCCUCUUCCUCGCGGAGCCGCUCAGCCAGCAGUCUCACCAGGAGCUGGUUAGCCCAGGUUAUGCCAAGGGCUGGGGAAACACGCUCGUCCCAGAACCUGAGAAUCAGGAAGCAGGCGAGCUGGUGCUCAGAAGGCUUGGUGGCCCCCGCCCACUUCGGCCCAGCUGUGCCCCUGGCACCUGCGCAGAGGUGCACGCACCACACGGCUGCACUCACCCCAGCGGCCCGUGUGCUGCGCCCUGCUCCUCCAUGGCCUCUGUCACCUGGAAGAGCACAGUCCAGGUCAGCUGCAACGGCCGCGGGUCUUCCCGAUGGGCAGGCACAGGCUGUUACCCGCAGGGGCCGGGGGCCACCGCACUGCCACCCGCCCCACCUCCAGACCGGCUCUGCUCUCGCAUCCUGGCUAAAAGUACGAGCUCACGGGUGCACCCCUGCCUUGGUGCCCACCUGGUUGAUGCACAGCACAGGGCUCUGGAAGGCACUGCUCAGCUCACGCAGCGCGGCCCCCAGGGACUGCAGACGCCUGGCCCUGGGGGCAGAGGCCUGGCUGUCAAAUUCACAGCGGAAUGGGGCCGCCACCGAGUCGAUGACCACCAGGCGAGCCAUGCCCCGAGACAGCAGAACGGGGACCUUCUUAUUCACACAUUCCAGCAAGGCGUCCUGUGGGGACAGGGCCAUGGUGUAUGCUGGCCAGCAGGCCCCGGCCCCCGGUGACCAGACCCCAUUUGGAGUGUCACUCAACCGUCUGACUCAAAACCUUCCUCCCCACCUGGGACUGACAGUGCUGGCUCUGCAGUCCCCAAACUCUGAGCCCAAUUCUGUAUUCUUCCCAAAAAGUCUCCAACUAUAGAAGCUUCAGGCUCACACAACUGGUUCCCUGGACUCCAUGUCCUUCCUCUGGCCCUCCCAGGCAGUCACCCCUUGGCCAUGCCAACACCAUCCUCUGCAGAGGCGUCCUUUGCCCAGGCUCCUGAGUCCUUGUGGGGGUCUGCUCUCCCUUCUGCCAUGGUUUCACCCUCUCCCCCUCACAGGUCAGCAGCAACCAGCCCUCUUCUUCAGUGGCCCCAUGCCAGGUGCUCAGACCACCCAGACCUGGCCACAGUGCCACCAAAUCUAGCCCGUGGUGGCCAUGACCACCUGGGCCACACCCUCUUUGGACGCUCAGCAAGGCAGGGGCCUAAUGCCCUUCAGGCGUUACUCAGGCGAGUCAGGCCUGGCCUGCCUCUGCCAAGGCGUGGGGCACGCUGGGAGACCAUCUGGGGGUCAGGAUGGGGCUGUAGGUGGAGACACCCUUAAGGCCAGUGCCUCCCGUGCACCCAGGCCUUAGCCCUGUGCUCUGAGCUGGCCUGGCCAAGGGGUGGAAACGGCCCUGUGCCCACCGGCUCCCAGGAGAGCUUCCAGGGGAGGGCCCCCCAGGGAAGGCAGGUGUCCUCGGCUUCCCUCUGGGUGCCGCUGUGGCCUGUGGGUGCCACGGCCAUUGGCAUGGCUGGCCUGGUCUCUGACCGCAGAGGUUGGUGAGCUGUGGUGAUGGGGGAGGGUGGCACAACUGCUCCUGGCACCAAGCAGGGUAGUUCAGGUCCCAUGGGCCUUGCCAGCAGCUCUGGCCAGAGCUGCCCCUAGGCUGCCCCUCAAAUCCAAGGUCUGCAGCCUCACACUGGUGUCACGCCUGGACCUCUGAAGACGCCCUGCACGCCCUGAGUGAAACUCGUCUGUGCUUCGUCUCCAGGGCGUCUCUGGCCGAGCCUCUUUUUGUGGAAAACGACAGCAGCAGCAGUGGCUUGGAAGACGCCACCGCUAACUGACCCCGACCUGGCCCCGCUCCAGGAUGGGACUGCCGAGUGUGGCCCGGAGCUGGCCCGGGACAGCCAGGGCAGCAGGGAGGGCCCCUGGCUGGGAGCCACAGUGCUCACUCAUUUCUCCUGCGUCUGUGUGCGUGGGGCACGAUACUAAUGACCACAUGGCUGGCGUGACCUUGGGACUGGGGCUGAGGCUGGGCCUAAGCUGGUGCCCUGGUGCAGCGUGGCCUCUCCCAGGAGGCCUGGGGCAUGAGCUGGGCCCACGGCUCCCUUCCCAUGUGUAACUUCCUCAUGUUGUGUGCGAUAAUGUAUUUUAUUGUACAUUUUUGAAAAUUAAACGUUUAUAUGCCUUA